GAGGUGGUAACAGUAACUCGACUCGACAAUAACAUGUCAGGCUACAUGACACCACCCUGA
Ictalurus punctatus (channel catfish) is the source of this 60-nucleotide microRNA precursor. The record is from Ensembl. NCBI's taxonomy places the organism in Eukaryota, Metazoa, Chordata, Actinopteri, Siluriformes, Ictaluridae.